RNAcentral lists this ribosomal RNA (451 nucleotides) under uncultured bacterium. RNAcentral's name for it is "bacterial SSU rRNA". It matches the Rfam family "Bacterial small subunit ribosomal RNA", at positions 470 to 918 of the family's 1533-position model. The record is from RNAcentral.
UGACGGUACCUGCAGAAGAAGGAGCGGCCAACUAUGUGCCAGCAGCCGCGGUGAUACAUAGGCUUCAAGCGUUGUCCGGAUUUAUUGGGCGUAAAGAGUUCGUAGGCGGUCGAGUAAGUCGGGUGUGAAAAUUCUGGGCUCAACCCAGAGACGCCACCCGAUACUGCUUAACUUGAGUUCGAUAGGGGAGUGGGGAAUUCCUAGUGUAGCGGUGAAAUGCGCAGAUAUUAGGAGGAACACCGGUGGCGAAGGCGCCACUCUGGAUCGAUACUGACGCUGAGGAACGAAAGCAUGGGUAGCAAACAGGAUUAGAUACCCUGGUAGUCCAUGCGGUAAACGGUGGGCACUAGGUGUGGGUUUCUAUUAACGAAAUCCGCGCCGUCGCUAACGCAUUAAGUGCCCCGCCUGGGGAGUACGGUCGCAAGACUAAAACUCAAAGGAAUUGACGGGG